GACGUCUGGGGUCUUGCCCAUGGAGUGGGAGUCUGGGAAGAUACACCUGAGUCCAAGGCUGCCUUCCCGGUGUUGCUGAGCAUGAAGUGGAGCCUGCAUGGCUAGGAGUAGAGUAAAUUCUGAGGCCCUGAAAGCUUAGUAGGGAAGGGGGAGCAGGUAAGGAGUGAAUCACCUCCUUAUCUCAGAUAGUCAACAGGGUCUAAAUUCCAACCUUUCUUUCACUUUACUUAUGCAAAUCCAUCUAUGACAAAGGAGCUGCAAGGACCUGCCUGGUGGCUAAGACACCAGAGGCCUGGUCUGGUCCCAGCCCACUACCUGCCAGCCUAUGGCUCUCCAUGUAUCUGUGGGCUGGGCCUGUUCUUUGCUUAUUCUUUAUGCUUCCUCCUGAUGGGAAGACAAACAGAAGGAAAAAGAAAAGGAGACUAGCAGGGCACCUGGGUAGUUCAGUUGGUUAAGCCUCCAACUCUUUUUUUUUUAAUUUUUUAAAAAUUUAUUUAUUUAUGAGAGACACACAGAGAGAGGCAGAGACACUGGCAGAGGGAGAAGCAGGCUCUGUGCAGGGAGCCGGAUGCGGGACUCGAUCCCAGAACCCCAGGGUCAUGCCCUGAGCCAGAGGCAGAUGCUCAAUGCUGAGCCACCCAGGCGUUCCUAAGCCUCCAACUCUUGACUUGGGCUCAGGUUAUGAUCUCAGGGUCGUGAGAUCAAGCCCCGGCUAGAUAGAGCUGUGUUAGAGCCCUACAUUGAGCUCCAUGCCCAGUAAGAAAUCAGCUGGAGAUUCUCUCUCCCUCCCUCUGCCCCUUUUAAAUACAUAUUUAAAAAGGAGAACAGCAAGGUUCCAAAUGAUAGAAAUGUCCCUCAAUGUGGGCUGUAGUAGAUCAUCCUGUGGGGCAUCUGCCCAGCCUAGACCUUCCUUGAGGGAGAAAGGUUGGGGGCCUGUAGUGGGCUGGAUGGUAACCCCAAAUGAUAAUCAGGACCUAAUUCCUAUGAUCUGAGAAUGUUACCUUACAAGGUAAAGGUUUUGCAGGUGUGAUUAAGUUAAAGGUUUUGAGAUGAGGGUAUCCUGGAAUAUCCAGGUGAACUCUAUAUGCCACCCACAAGUGCACUUACAAAUGAGAGAUGGGGGACACCGCACAACAUGGGAUGAAACAUCCUCAGCUCCCAGUGACACUGUUAAACAAUCACACAAAUGCCAGAACUGGACAUCUUCACCUUAGAUGAGCAGUUCUCCCCCAGGAUUAACUUUGCUGCCCAGGGGCCAUUUGGAAUGUUACAGUGGCAGUAAGGGGGCUGCUUCGGGCAUCUGGUGGGGCCAGGAUGCUACUAAACAUCCUACAGUGAUGUCAACCGCCCAGGUUGACAAAUCCUGCCCUAGACAUAGGAAGAUCCAUUCUCUUGGGCAGUGAGGACUCUGAGGGUAGAGCCUGGCCACCCAGAGUCAGCUCCAUCAAAAACCAAGAAACACUAUCCUUGAAGAUCAGCCUGAGUAUGAUAUUUAUGAUUUUCCUUUAAGGGGAAAAAAAAAAAAACUGUCACUUUUACAAAGUGUCCCCAAUCCAGAACUGUAAAUCUCAUUCUCUACAGCAUGAUAUAAAUAGGUCUCUCCUCUUUUUCUCCAUCCCCAGUCCCUGCUCUGGGCAUUAAAACUCUCCACUGAAAUUUAUUAACUAUCAUUUAAAGGAUGUGGGAAAGAGAAUAGUCAGUAGUAUUUACAAACCCAAAUACAUUUUUAAGAAAGUUUAGGAUACUUAAAAGGCUAAUGAAGGCUAUAUUUCAAAAUAAAACAACUAGGAUAUAAUUUGAGAAGCAAAAAUUACAGCAUGAUCUUUUCUGGAAUGUAAUUCUUCUCAAAAAAAAAAAAAAGAUGUCAGUAAUACAGUAUGCUUCUCAGGGAUGAGCUGGGCUCAGUACCGUAUAAACAUCGCCCAAAAAUGUUCUCACUAUUUAUCCUCAAGAUGUCUUAUUUUAGAAAGCAUCUUGGCAGUUGUGUCCAGUCAAGAGAAAUUAUUAGCAUCUACUUUAACAAAACACAAAAGAGGGAAAGAUAAUGUAACAACGUGGUAGCAACUAGACACACUGUAAGCAGGUGUUUAUAAGAGAAAGUGUGUGAAACUUGAUAUAAGCAAGUGAAUAAGUGCACCUGCCUCACCUAAAACUGAAACACUGUGGGACCCCGGGGUGGCUCGGUGGUUGAGCAUCUGCCUUUGACUCAGGGCGUGACCCCAGGGUCCUGGGAUGGAGUCCCUACUUCUGGAUGGAGUCCCUACGUCUCCCUCUGCCUACAUCUCUGCCUCUCUCUCGUGUCUCUCAUGCAUAAAUAAAUAAAAUCUUUAAAAAAAA
Molecule: long non-coding RNA, 2337 nt
Filed under: Canis lupus familiaris (dog)
Lineage: Eukaryota; Metazoa; Chordata; Mammalia; Carnivora; Canidae
Description: lncRNA (ENSCAFG00845000754.1)
Source: RNAcentral